CAAUAGCGUAUAUUUAAGUUGUUGCAGUUAAAAAGCUCGUAGUUGGAUUUCGGGUGGGGUCUGCCGGUCCGUCGUUGCGAUGUGCACUGGCAGGCCCUACCUUGUUGUCGGGGACUAGCUCCUGGGCUUCACUGUCCGGGACUAGGAGCCGGCGAAGUUACUUUGAGUAAAUUAGAGUGUUCAAAGCAAGCCUACGCUCUGAAUAUAUUAGCAUGGAAUAACACGAUAGGACUCUGGCUUAUCUUGUUGGUCUGUGAGACCAGAGUAAUGAUUAAGAGGGACAGUCGGGGACAUUCGUAUUUCAUUGUCAGAGGUGAAAUUCUUGGAUUUACGGAAGACGAACAUCUGCGAAAGCAUUUGCCAAGGAUGUUUUCAUUGA
RNAcentral lists this ribosomal RNA (379 nucleotides) under uncultured eukaryote. Its description in RNAcentral is "partial 18S ribosomal RNA". It matches the Rfam family "Eukaryotic small subunit ribosomal RNA", at positions 592 to 976 of the family's 1831-position model. The record is from RNAcentral.